GGAUAUAGCUCAGUUGGUAGAGUGCUUGCCUCACAUGUACAAGGCCCUGGGUUCAAUCCCCAGCACCA
Molecule: transfer RNA, 68 nt
Filed under: Marmota monax (woodchuck)
Lineage: Eukaryota; Metazoa; Chordata; Mammalia; Rodentia; Sciuridae
Description: tRNA.Val
Rfam family: tRNA (bases 6-63)
About the family: Transfer RNA (tRNA) molecules are approximately 80 nucleotides in length. Their secondary structure includes four short double-helical elements and three loops (D, anti-codon, and T loops).
Source: RNAcentral